Molecule: non-coding RNA, 26 nt
Filed under: Bos taurus (domestic cattle)
Lineage: Eukaryota; Metazoa; Chordata; Mammalia; Artiodactyla; Bovidae
Also listed under: 2 other names
Source: RNAcentral
GAUAGCUCAGUUGGUAGAGCGGAGGA